RNAcentral lists this ribosomal RNA (832 nucleotides) under Hepatoxylon trichiuri. RNAcentral's name for it is "partial large subunit ribosomal RNA". It matches the Rfam family "Eukaryotic large subunit ribosomal RNA", at positions 75 to 612 of the family's 3401-position model. The record is from RNAcentral. Lineage: Eukaryota; Metazoa; Platyhelminthes; Cestoda; Trypanorhyncha; Hepatoxylidae.
UUCCCCUAGUAACGGCGAGUGAAGAGGGAAAAGCCCAGCACCGAAGCCUGCGGCAGUUUUGCUGUUAGGCAAUGUGGUGUUUGGGUCGGCUCGUGGCAUUGCCACUCCACUCGAAGUCCAGCAUUGAGUAUGGUUUCCUGGAUUUGGCCCAGAGAGGGUGAAAGGCCCGUACGAGUGGAUGUUUCAGAAAUGUAAGGCAGUGCACCAGGCCGGCCUUCGAGUCGGGUUGUUUGAGAAUGCAGCCCAAAGCGGGUGGUAAACUCCAUCCAAGGCUAAAUACUAGCACGAGUCCGAUAGCGAACAAGUACCGUGAGGGAAAGUUGAAAAGUACUUUGAAGAGAGAGUAAACAGUACGUGAAACCGCAUAGAGGUAAACGGGUGGCGUCAAGCUGCAAGCCCAGAGGAUUCAGUCGGUCAGGAUGUUGUGUAUGCGCCUGGCGCAUCUAUCAGUCAGUGUUAGAUGAGGGGCAGUCCGCCGGGAAACGGUGGGCCCAGCCGCAAGGUUGGGAUUUGCGUACCGGGUGGUUGCCGGAGCAUGCUGCUCGUCUGUUGGACUGUCUGGCCGAUGCACUUCCUCUGUUAAGGUGAACACCACGACCGGUGGUACUGCCAGUCUGUUGUGGCCAAGUUGUGCUCAGUUGGCAUUUAUGUCGCCUGGGUGCGAUCACAGGCAAAGUCGGUGAACGGUGUUCGGGCGUUCGCGUCAGUUCAUGUUAUCGGUCACUGCUUGUCAACGGGUGCGUUGCCGAUUGUUGUAGCCGUCGGUGGCAUGACCUGGUGGGCCAUGAUGGUAAAAAUAACUGUGCAGGGCGCCGGAGUGCUCGGUCUCUAA